RNAcentral lists this ribosomal RNA (370 nucleotides) under uncultured bacterium. RNAcentral's name for it is "bacterial SSU rRNA". It matches the Rfam family "Bacterial small subunit ribosomal RNA", at positions 32 to 409 of the family's 1533-position model. The record is from RNAcentral.
AAUCAACGCUGGCGGCGUGCCUAACACAUGCAAGUCGAACGCGAAAGGGGACUUCGGUUCCUGAGUAGAGUGGCGUACGGGUGAGUAACGCGUGGGUCAUCUGCCCUCGGGUGGGGAAUAACUAAUCGAAAGGUUAGCUAAUACCGCAUAACACAGUGAUGUCAAAGCAGCAAUGUGCCUGAGGAGGAGCCUGCGUCUGAUUAGGUAGUUGGUGGGGUAACGGCCUACCAAGCCUGCGAUCAGUAGCUGGUCUGAGAGGACGGCCAGCCACAAUGGCACUGAAACACGGGCCAUACUCCUACGGGAGGCAGCAGUGGGGAAUUUUGCGCAAGUGGGCGAAAGCCUGACGCAGCAACGCCGCGUGAGGGAU